GAUGAACGCUGGCGGCGUGCCUAAUACAUGCAAGUCGAGCGAACAGACGAGGAGCUUGCUCCUCUGACGUUAGCGGCGGACGGGUGAGUAACACGUGGAUAACCUACCUAUAAGACUGGGAUAACUUCGGGAAACCGGAGCUAAUACCGGAUAAUAUAUUGAACCGCAUGGUUCAAUAGUGAAAGACGGUUUUGCUGUCACUUAUAGAUGGAUCCGCGCCGCAUUAGCUAGUUGGUAAGGUAACGGCUUACCAAGGCAAUGAUGCGUAGCCGACCUGAGAGGUUGAUCGGCCACACUGGAACUGAGACACGGUCCAGACUCCUACGGGAGGCAGCAGUAGGGAAUCUUCCGCAAUGGGCGAAAGCCUGACGGAGCAACGCCGCGUGAGUGAUGAGGGUCUUCGGUUCGUAAAACUCUGUUAUGAGAAAAGAACAAAUGUGUAAGUAACUAUGCACGUCUGGACGGUACCUAAGCAGAAAGCCACGGCUAACUACGU
Molecule: ribosomal RNA, 496 nt
Filed under: uncultured bacterium
Lineage: Bacteria
Description: partial 16S ribosomal RNA
Rfam family: Bacterial small subunit ribosomal RNA
Source: RNAcentral